RNAcentral lists this transfer RNA (85 nucleotides) under Felis catus (domestic cat). It matches the Rfam family "tRNA". From Rfam's summary of the family: Transfer RNA (tRNA) molecules are approximately 80 nucleotides in length. The record is from Rfam by way of RNAcentral. Lineage: Eukaryota; Metazoa; Chordata; Mammalia; Carnivora; Felidae. RNAcentral also lists the same sequence under 1 other name.
GCCUGGGUGGCUCAGUCAGUUAAGCGUCUGACUUCGGCUCAGGUCAUAAUCUCACGGUUCGUGGGUUCGAGCCCCACGUCGGGCU